AUUGAACGCUGGCGGCAGGCCUAACACAUGCCAGUCGAGCGGCUGAAGGGAGCUUGCUCCUGGAUUCAGCGGCGGACGGGUGAGUAAUGCCUAGGAAUCUGCCUGGUAGUGGGGGAUAACGUCCGGAAACGGGCGCUAAUACCGCAUACGUCCUGAGGGAGAAAGAGGGGGAUCUUCGGACCUCACGCUAUCAGAUGAGCCUAGGUCGGAUUAGCUAGUUGGUGGGGUAAAGGCCUACCAAGGCGACGAUCCGUAACUGGUCUGAGAGGAUGAUCAGUCACACUGGAACUGAGACACGGUCCAGACUCCUACGGGAGGCAGCAGUGGGGAAUAUUGGACAAUGGGCGAAAGCCUGAUCCAGCCAUGCCGCGUGUGUGAAGAAGGUCUUCGGAUUGUAAAGCACUUUAAGUUGGGAAGAAGGGCAGUAAGUUAAUACCUUGCUGUGUUGACGUUACCAACAGAAUAAGCACCGGCUAACUUCGUG
Molecule: ribosomal RNA, 484 nt
Filed under: uncultured bacterium
Lineage: Bacteria
Description: partial 16S ribosomal RNA
Rfam family: Bacterial small subunit ribosomal RNA
Source: RNAcentral